UACGUAGGUGGCAAGCGUUGUUCGGAAUUACUGGGCGUAAAGGGCUCGUAGGCGGCCAACUAAGUCGGACGUGAAAUCCCCAGGCUCAACCUGGGAACUGCGUCCGAUACUGGAUGGCUUGAAUUCGGGAGAGGGAUGCAGAAUUCCAGGUGUAGCGGUGAAAUGCGUAGAUAUCUGGAGGAAUACCGGUGGCGAAGGCGGCAACCUGGACCGACAUUGACGCUGAGGAGCGAAAGCUAGGGGAGCAAACGGG
Molecule: ribosomal RNA, 253 nt
Filed under: uncultured bacterium
Lineage: Bacteria
Description: partial 16S ribosomal RNA
Rfam family: Bacterial small subunit ribosomal RNA
Source: RNAcentral